Molecule: long non-coding RNA, 2630 nt
Filed under: Homo sapiens (human)
Lineage: Eukaryota; Metazoa; Chordata; Mammalia; Primates; Hominidae
Description: HSALNT0310886
Source: RNAcentral
UCCUUUGUUGCUUUGCAUAGCCCAUUCCUCCUCAUUCUUCAUUUCUCAGCUUAAAUGCCACUUCAUCAGAGACGCCUUUUUCAAAAACUUUACCUAAGUUUUUAUUUGUUUUUCUUUUUUCCUGAGCUGAUAGGAAGACAACUCUGUUAUCUUUAGGAUUUCAGAUGCUUUUAGAAUCAAACCUGGAAAGGAUACAAAAAGCAGAAGCAAAACCAACAUUUGGGAGAAGAACAGAUUAAGACAGUAGCUUAUAUUGAAACAUCACUUCUCAUUUGCUGUUUGGACAAUGGUGAUGGAACUGCUGCUUUAUUGCCCACGGAGAAGCGAAGUGAAGAGUCUAAAGUGGGUCUUGCAGUUACACUGGACAAAAGAAGUUUGAAACUGAGGCUUGGUCCUGAAGAAAACAUAGAGAAGCCUGACAGAUUAUAUAUAUUCACAGCUUUGACUUAAAGGUUGCUGGUUGACCAAUAAGUAAUACAAGAAGAAAUGGUCUUUUCUGGAAUUGUCCUUCUUUCCAGGUAUCAAUGGUGAGCAGAAGAGGAGCAGGGAAUGAUGAAAGACCACACAUUCUCCAAAAGUCACUAAGCACUGUCUGCAGAUGGAACAUUCAUAUUUUCACAUAGUAUAAGUCAUAUGAUCUUUGAUCCUCCAUGUAUUGCUAUCCAGCCAUUUACUUUAGAAUGUCAGCCUUUAUACUGAUAUCACACACAUGUUGUAAAAUGUAGUGAAGAUAAACGGGUGAAGUUAAACUUACAAUGCUUUUGCUGUUAUCCAUAAAAAUGCAAUAGGUAUUGCAUAGAAUUAGUUACAAGCACAAAACUGUGAUACCCUAUAUGCCCCUGUUACAAGAAAGUUGUCAUUUUACAUUAUGGGUAUUUAUUCGAUAUUUUCAUAGUUUAAUUACUAACAAAGCAUUAAUAAUGCCAGAUUGUGCUGACAAACAUUGCAGUCUCUGAAUAGGAGAAAGAAUAUAUUCUUUGCACCAUUAUACAAUGAUUUAGAACUUUAAUAGUGUGCUGGGGAAAAAACAUGUAUCUGUAACCUGAAAUAGUUGUUUUACCUCCCUGAGUACAAAAUAUGUCACACAUUCUCUCCUAAAUGUAUUCUCUAUUUUUACCAGUCAUUUUGUUGCUAAAAUGUAAGAUAUGGGGAUGGGAUGUGGGUGAUUGUCUCCGUCCUUUUGGGCUUCUAUAACUAAAAUACCUUAGACUGGGUAAUUUAUAAACAACAGGAAUUUAUUUCUCACAGUUCUGGGGGCUGGAAAGUCCAAGAUCAAGGCUGUGGUGGGGUUUGGCUGGCGAGGGCUCCAUCCUUCUUGCUAUAUCUUCACAUGGUGGAAGGAGCAAACAAACUCCCCCAGCCCUCUUUUACAAGGGCACUAAUAUUAUUUGUGAGGGCUCCACUCUCAUGACUUAAUCACCUCCCCAAAGACCCUACUUCUUAAUACUAACACAUUGGGGAUUAAUCUUCAACAUAUGAAUUUUGGAGGAACACAAACAUUCAGACCAUAGCAAUGUUUAUUGGGGUGAAUGCUCAUUUAACUUUUCCCAGAACAAUCCCUGUUAAGUCUGCUAACCUCCUGUAGUUAAUGAUAAAAUUUCCUUCAUUUUCCGAAGUGUUCUUGUUUGGAUUAUAAAUUAUGUAAUUACCCUAAUGACAAUUAACUAGACAUUUUUUUUCUUACUGUAUAGCACCAGUAUGGGCAAUUGCAGUGGCUUUCAAACUUGACUACAACUCAGGGAGAAAUACAUUUUUCAUCAUAACGUAGUACACACACACACACACACACACACACACACACACGCACACACACACACACAUACACUAGAUAAAGCAAAAGCUUUAGGAAAUGGUACUUGGAUAUUUUCAAAUAUAUUUUAGUCUGUUUUUUAAUUAAAAAUCUCUAGUCAUGAUACAUUAAAUUGACUUAUUGACCCACAGCUUGAAAAAACACCAAUAUUUUGGAUGUGUUUUAAGGUCAUAGAACACGCCUUCUGAUUUUUUUCCUUCCCUAGGUAAUCCUAUGCAAGUUGCCAAUCUUCUCUAAACAACACUCUUCUUCAUCUAUAAAGUAAAUAUUAAUACCUACCUGAAGGUGGCAGAGAGAGUUAACUGAGAUAAUUUGGUUAAUGAGCCUGAAAUCUAGUCAACACUUACUAAAGGUAAUUUCUUCUCCUCUCUUCCGCUUCUAAACCAACAGGACACAGCUGAAGUUCACAGGUUUGUAAAAGUGAAAAAAUAUUUUUCUUAACCCCCUGACCUCUAAAGUUUGGUCAGAGUGUUUAGCCACUGAUAAAACAUCUUUAAGCACUGUUACUUCUAUGUUCAACUAAAAGAGUCACUUUUCAGUAAUUUCCGGUCAAGCCCAUCACAAUAGCACUUGCAGCUUCUCAAAAGAAAAGAAAGAAAGAGAGAGAAAGAAAGGAAGAAAGAGAAUUGAAGGAGGAAAGAAGGAAAAAAAUCAUGAUGAAGAUUUUAAAACAUGUCUUAUUGAGGGAUGGGAUGGUGAGGAAGUUGAUUAUAGUGAUGGAUGUGACAGACAGGGCCCGUACUUCUGUUUCUGUUCUCAAACUAACAGUUUUCACACAUAACCGUUUUCACACAUAACACAUUAGUAGAAUUUCUUUUGA